UAUUGCACAAUGGGGGCAAGCCUGAUGCAGCCAUGCCGCGUGUGUGAAGAAGGCCUUCGGGUUGUAAAGCACUUUCAGUCAGGACGACAGGUUAGUGGUUUAUACCUGCUAGCUGUGACGUUACUGACAGAAAUAAGCACCGGCUAACUCCGUGCCAGCAGCCGCGGUAAUACGGAGGGGUGCGAGCGUUAAUCGGAAUUACUGGGCGUAAAGCGUACGCAGGCGGUUUGUUAAGCGAGAUGUGAAAGCCCCGGGCUCAACCUGGGAACUGCAUUUCGAACUGGCAAACUAGAGUGUGAUAGAGGGAGGUAGAAUUCCAGGUGUAGCGGUGAAAUGCGUAGAGAUCUGAAGGAAUACCGAUGGCGAAGGCAGCCACCUGGGUCUAACACUGACGCUCAUUACGAAA
This 406-nucleotide ribosomal RNA is filed under the name uncultured bacterium. RNAcentral describes it as "bacterial SSU rRNA". It matches the Rfam family "Bacterial small subunit ribosomal RNA", at positions 362 to 758 of the family's 1533-position model. The record is from RNAcentral.